CCCCUUAACAAAAAACACACACUUGCAACCAAAAACUCACCUAUUGAGCUGAUUCGAGGCAAAACCGAAAGUGGGGUGUUGCUAUUUCGUGAUUCUAUCGGAGACUGGAGCCAAGAUCCCCUUUUUACAGCGACUGUGGCAGAGGAAGAAGAGCAGCUCGCUACUUUUAACAGUUGAGGAUAAAAAGAAGAAAAGUAAGAGCUUGGGAUCUUUUUGAGCUAUGCUUUUUGCCCUUUUUGAUAUUGAUGAGAGUAUCUAGAUUAGAAUAGGAGCCAUUGUUGAAGGUGAAGGUGAAGGUGAAGGUGAAGGUGUAUAUAUAUAUCUCCUAAUUCUGGCAUCGACUUAGGAUGGGGUUUGCAGUUCUGGGGAAAUCACCAACCGUUGGAUUUGGAAAAUGUGACGGCCAUCGAAUUACGUCAGUGUUUGUCAAAAUAUUGGAGGAUAUUAUGCAGCCAUUUUUAUACCAUUUCCAGCUGUAGAGAUCAUACUGUUUCUUUUUUUUAUUCUUCUUUUUUCACUUUUUUAACCCAUAUUUGAAGGUCACACAACCACGUCGUCAAUAUUCGACAUGUAAAAUACACGAACUUUAGUUAAUUUUUUAUUUUCAAUUUUUUAUACAUUAUCCCACCACACUCUUUCUACUUUUCAUCUCUAUUUUUUAUAAAGUGAAAUCUCUUUUUCAUUCACAAUAUAUUUUUAUCUAAUAUUUUUUAAAAUUCAUGUAGCUUACAAAUAUUCACACUCUCUUUAUUUUUCAUCUCUAUUUUUUAUAAAGUGAAACCCCUUUUUUAUUCACAAUAUAUUUUUAUUUAAUAUUUUUUAAAUUCGUGUCACUUAUAAAUAUUCAUGCUGUGAGAUCGAAAGAGUAUAAUCUACGUUGCACAAUCUUGAAAUCACUAAUGACCGUGUCAAUAGUAGGUCACAACAUCAAGUCCAUCUAUUUGACUUAGCAAUUUGUAGUUGACUUUCUUGCCGAGUUAAAAUUAUGAUUUUUAUUAUGAAAGAUUUUAAGAAGAAGAGAAAAGGAAAAUAAUGUGCAAGAUUUAUCACUAAUUUUAUAAAUAUAUACAUAAAUUUCAGUUUGAGCCCAGUAGCCUACCUGAGGUUAAGUUAUGUUGGGCCAGAACUCGAGGCCCAUAAAGAUCCCAGUGGGCUCAAUUAGAUUUCGUGCCGACAUAAAGUUUUAUGUGCUGCUUCACAUAGUAAACUUAAAUCUUUUGAAGUAAAGGGUAAAUAAUAUGAAAACUUCUGAACUAUACCAGCUUUAUCAAAAAUACCUUGAAAAUUUUGAAAUGUUCUCUAAAUCCUCAAACUAUCAAAUUUUUAUCAAAUAUAUUAUGCAUCUAUUUUUCGGUAACCAGAAUCGUGAUGUGCCUCGCCAUGCUACAAUGUAAUUUAUAUUAUAUAUUUUUUAAAUGACAUGGCAAAAACGACUUCGUUUCGUACCAUAUAAUUUUAAAAAAAUCAUUCUAAAAUUUAAAAUUCGCUUCUAUCGUAUUUGAAAUUCAUGCUAAGUCAAGUGGGACGGAGGGAAUAUUAUAUACAUAUAGAUAUAGAUUAUAUAGAUCGUAAAUUUAUUUAAUAAUCCGCGAAAGUGAUACAUUGGUUACUAAAGUAUAUAAUACAGUAAAUAAAUUUGAUAUUUUUUGCCAAUUAUAAAUAUUUAUCCUAUACACACAAACAUAAUAUAUAUUUUUCACCAAUAAACUUAGAUAUAUAUAUAUAUAUAUAUAUUUUAAUUAUUAUUAUUAUUAUUAUUAUUAUUAUUAUUAUUAUUAUUAUUAUUAUUAUUUAUUUUGUACGUUUGGGGGUAGGGUAGUGUAGCGGUGGGUAGUUGUAAUCCUGGUACCUCUACUCGCACCGCUUNACAGCGACUGUGACAGAGGAAGAAGAGCAGCUCGCAACUUUUUCCGGAACUGCGGUUUUAAAAGUUGAGGAUAAAAAGAAGAAAAGCAAGAGCUUGGGAUCUUUUUGAGCUAUGCUUUUUGCCCUUUUUGAUAUUGAUGAGAGUAUCUAGAUUAGAAUAGGAGCCAUUGUUGAAGGUGAAGGUGUAUAUAUAUAUCUCCUAAUUCUGGCAUCGACUUAGGAUGGGGUUUGCAGUUCUGGGGAAAUCACCAACCGUUGGAUUUGGAAAAUGUGACGGCCAUCGAAUUACGUCAGUUUUUGUCAAAAUAUUGGAGGA
RNAcentral lists this long non-coding RNA (2182 nucleotides) under Salvia miltiorrhiza (redroot sage). RNAcentral's name for it is "long non-coding RNA (SMIL_LNC000047)". Lineage: Eukaryota; Viridiplantae; Streptophyta; Magnoliopsida; Lamiales; Lamiaceae. The record is from RNAcentral.